This 628-nucleotide small RNA is filed under the name Rattus norvegicus (Norway rat). Its description in RNAcentral is "uncharacterized LOC108351432". The record is from RNAcentral. Lineage: Eukaryota; Metazoa; Chordata; Mammalia; Rodentia; Muridae.
AUCCCGUGAGGGCUUGUCUUUAUCCACCCACUGUGGAUGGUACCAUUUCCUGGGAUGGGAUCCACACUGAGCAAAAUGGAGAACAUGAGCUGAGCGCAUGCGCGUACCAUUCUCUUUCUUGACACUGGAUACAGCUGCGUCUGGCUCCGGCCCUUGUGACUUCUCCACCAAGAUAGACUGACUGUAUCCUAGAACUGUGAGCCGAGGUAAACCCAUAAGCUGCUUUCCUCAGAGUGGUUUACCACAGAAACAAGAAAAAUAACUAAUGGGCAAGAGCACCGGGUAGAAGAUGACACAGAAAGCACAAUGGGAUUUGCUCCUUCAAGAGAAGAAUGUGAUUGUUUUUUUGGAGAGUAGAGAGGCUAUGCAGCCUGCAGAGCUGCUUCAUGCACUGAUGGAUUGAGAAUGCUUUUCCCAGAGACGCUGCCUUCCUGGGUGUUCUGAGUUUCCUGGUGUUACCUGGUUUUCCCAGAUGUCCCGGCUUUCUGGAAGGCGAUGCGUUCCCAUGCGGGCGGCAUUUCCUGGAUGUACUUCAUUCCCAGAGGUCUUAAACUGUCCAGCGGCCCAGGAAGGGUAGAUGUGAUGGUUUGAAUGUGCUUGACCCAGGGAGUGGCAUUAUUAGGAGGUA